Molecule: long non-coding RNA, 84 nt
Organism: Etheostoma cragini (Arkansas darter)
Lineage: Eukaryota; Metazoa; Chordata; Actinopteri; Perciformes; Percidae
Exons: 3
Source: RefSeq, a predicted model, not a curated record
GCUGUGUGUCAUCACCCUUCUCUCUGCCACCUUUCCUGUCAAUCCACUGUCACUAUGAAAUAAAAGGGCCCAACAAAAAUUAUC